RNAcentral lists this long non-coding RNA (328 nucleotides) under Solanum tuberosum (potato). Its description in RNAcentral is "long non-coding RNA (STUB_LNC010719)". Lineage: Eukaryota; Viridiplantae; Streptophyta; Magnoliopsida; Solanales; Solanaceae. The record is from RNAcentral.
CCAAUAAUAUAUCCAUGGAAAGCCCUUUGAGUUAGCUACCUAACGCACUUCGUUUCACCUCAUUCGGAGUUCGGACGAAGAAGUUAUGCCCAUUUCCGUAAAAUCUGUCCGACAGAAAAAGACAAUUUCCAGUAGCUAAUUUUACUGUUCACCCGCCCCAUUUUUUUUUUCUAAGGGUUGGACGAUUUUUUUCCAAAGGGCAUAUGUUAUUUCCUAUAUACCAUUAGUUCAAUUCCCAUCUCUAAAACAUUUCCCAAAACACCUCUCCCACACUUAGACACAUUUUCUCUCAAGUUCUCCCAAGAACCCUAAUCCAAAACCUUCCUCA